This 755-nucleotide ribosomal RNA is filed under the name Methanosaeta sp. enrichment culture. RNAcentral's name for it is "bacterial SSU rRNA". It matches the Rfam family "Archaeal small subunit ribosomal RNA", at positions 102 to 856 of the family's 1478-position model. Lineage: Archaea; Methanobacteriati; Methanobacteriota; Methanomicrobia; Methanotrichales; Methanotrichaceae. The record is from RNAcentral.
GGACAACCUGCCCUGAGGACUGGAAUAAUCCCGGGAAACUGGGGGUAAUUCCAGAUAUGUCAGAACUCCUGGAAUGGGUUCUGGCAGAAAGGCUCCGGCGCCUCAGGAUGGGUCUGCGGCCUAUCAGGGUAGUAGUGGGUGUAACGUACCUACUAGCCUACGACGGGUACGGGUUGUGAGAGCAAGAGCCCGGAGAUGGAUUCUGAGACAUGAAUCCAGGCCCUACGGGGUGCAGCAGGCGCGAAAACUUUACAAUGCGGGCAACCGCGAUAAGGGGACCUCGAGUGCUGGGUUACAAACCUGGCUGUUGGGCUGCCUAAAAAGCAGUCUAUGGCAAGGGCCGGGCAAGACCGGUGCCAGCCGCCGCGGUAACACCGGCGGCUCGAGUGGUAACCGCUAUUAUUGGGUCUAAAGGGUCUGUAGCCGGCCGACUAAGUCUCUUGGGAAAUCUGGCAUCUCAAGUGUCAGGCUGCCAGGGGAUACUGGUCGGCUUGGGACCGGGAGAGGUGAGAGGUACCUCGGGGGUAGGGGUGAAAUCUUGUAAUCCUCGAGGGACCACCAGUGGCGAAGGCGUCUCACCAGAACGGAUCCGACGGCAAGGGACGAAAGCUAGGGGCACGAACCGGAUUAGAUACCCGGGUAGUCCUAGCCGUAAACGAUACUCGCUAGGUGUCGGCCACGGUGCGACCGUGGUCGGUGCCGUAGGGAAGCCGUGAAGCGAGCCACCUGGGAAGUACGGCCGCAAGGCUGAAACU